GGCCUCAAACUUGUCGUCGUCGUGUCGUCUUCUUCUCUUGUUCGUGAAGUUCUUCGUGACAAAGACGCUAUCUUUGCCAAUCGUGAUGUUCCCGUUUCAGCAUAUAAUCUCAUGUACGGCGGAGAAGAUAUCGCUUUUACACCCAACUGCCCAAAAUUAACGAUGAUGAGGAAGGUGACGACGCAAGAACUACUCGGAGGAGCAACACUACAAACUGUCCAAGGGCUUCGAAAAAUGGAGGUUCGAGCGAUGAUAAAAAGAGUAAAGAAAAAGGAAGGAGAGAUUACUGACAUGAGCGUGGAGAUUUUCACAACCAUGUUCAAGGUAAUCACGAGCAUGUUGUGGGGUGGAGGAACGGACGAGAAAGGUGGUGAAGCAAGUGUACAAGAUUUAACAGAAUUCAAGGAUGUCAUAUCUGACAUGGCUGUAUUAUCCGGUAAACCAGAUCUGUCUGAUUUUUUCCCGUUCCUGGAGUGGAUGGAUUUACAAGGAGUAAAAAAAGAGGCAAAGUUUCUAAACAAAAGGUUUGAUGGAAUAUUCGAACAGAUCCUAUCUGGGAAAGUAUCAAACGACGGCAAAGAUUUUCUGGACGUACUUAUGCAGAUAGAAAAGAGAGGUGAUGAAAAUGGUAUUACCAAGAACAACAUCAAGGCUAUCUUACUGGAUUUUGUGACGGCAGGAACUGACACAACAUCAAGCACUAUAGAAUUUGCGGUAUGUGAAAUGUUGCGUAAUCCUGAUAUAAUGAACAAGGUGCAAGAAGAGUUAGAUAGAGUGGUCGGUUCUGAUACCAUAGUAGAAGAAAGACAUAUCUCAGAUUUACACUAUCUUUAUGCUGUUUUCGAAGAAACGCUUCGACUGUAUCCACCUAUUCCAUUUCUAAUCCCACACAGCAACAGCGAAGCUUCCAACAUCGGAGGUUAUAAUAUCCCAGCAAGAACUCGAAUUUUGAUCAACGUAUGGUCGAUCCAUCGUGACCCACAAGUAUGGGAAGAUCCAUUGGUUUUCAAACCAGAGAGGUUCAUCAAAGAUGGAGGUGGAAAGACUUACAAAACCAGCGAUUUCAAAUACUUCCCUUUUGGUUCAGGUAGAAGGAUGUGUGUUGGAAUGGUGAUGGCACACAAGAUGUUCAUGUACGUCAUGGCUUCACUGUUGCAUUCCUUCAACUUGAGGAUGCCUGAAGGACAUCAAUUAGAUUUCACCCAAAAAUUUGGUAUGGUUUUGCAGAAGAAAACACCACUUCAGAUCAUACCCUCUAAGAGACUCUCCAAAAUCCAACUUUACGAUUGAUUAAUUGAUUUAUAAACCCAAUCCAGGAGCAGUCAGGAAGGCAAGAAUAAUAUAUAUAAUAUUCUCUUUUUAUAAUUACUGUCAGCCCCCCCUGUAAUUCUUAUAAUAUUGAACUACUCAAUUCUGUAAUAUCAUAGUUUAUAAAUAAAUAAAAAAUAUCUUCUUGACUUUCUUCCCUUAUGACUUAAUAUACAAUAUAGCAAUGUGGGGAGUCAAGGCGAUAGGGAGAAUAACAAGCUCCCUAGGGUCACCGAUAGAAGAAAAAGCGAAACCACAGAGAGAUGCAUGCCUUCCACCACCGCUUGAAGCUUGUAUUAUAAUAGAUAAAAAUUUCACCUACCCGGAGAAUGUUAGAAUCAGGGCCGAGGGUCAUGAGAAUGUGCCAGCCAAAGACUCGAUUGUUGGGGUUGAAUACAAACAGAAGAUGCCCUAUUGCUUCAGAUGCUCGGGAUUCGGACACUGGCCCCAACAAUGUAGGGGGCACGAACAAAUCGAAGGGAACUGGAAUAAGCACAUCGCGUCGGAAAAAGCAGAGGUCGCCAGCGUCGGUGUCCUUGCAAUUGAAGGGAAAUUUCAAAAUUCAAAACCUUAUGAUACGAUCAAGCAAAGGACGAGGCCACGCCGACGUCGACACCAGCGUACGCAACGUACGAAACUUGUGUACAUGAGAGUGGAAAAGCCUUCAAAUGAAAACCACAAUGACCAAAGAGCACACCAGACCAUAUCCCCCGAACGCCGAGGUGAGAUACCGGCCCCUCCAUCGCAAUCAAACCUGGAGGAAGUGGGAGAAGACCCAUCUGAAAUUAACUUAAAAAAACCAGAUGAGGGCGUGGAUAAUAAUAAUAAUGAAAUGGAAAGUCAAUCGGGCGACCCGAAUACUGACCCGAUACCAAAUACUGACCCGCGACCAAAUAUUGACCCGCGAUUGGAAGGAAGUCCGCUACUGCACAAUCAGAUACCAAUUACAGAUCCGGAAACGCCAAAAUCAAAAUCUAAAUCGAAACAAAGCAAACAGCGGGAAAUAGAGGACCAGGACGCCGAAAGUGGCACGAAUGAACAGAUGCAAAUCGAGGGACACGCCUUAUCGCAUGAAGAUCGCGCCAGCCGGGAACACAUCUUAUAUAACCUACCGGACCUAAACAGCCUGCCGCGUCGAUCGAUCUCAUCUAUUUCAUAUCUUAGCACGUCACAAAGGAAAUUAAGGCAAGCGGACAGACCAGCACAAUGCGCCACCGAGCCAGAGGAAAUUCAAUCAAGAAUCAGAUCAACCGAGAAGCGAAUUGCUCUAGUGCCGAUACAAUUGCACAACCGGUUCCAAGUGCUAUAGAGAGGGCAGAGGAGGAAGGCAGGAUCCUCCAGCGCAAAAAGCAUCUAAGUGGAAUCGCAAGGAGCAUCACCCCCCGUGAUGACUCUAAUUGCAUGGAACGCAAGAGGGAUUUGCUCGACAGAGAGGAAAAAUGAACUGAGAAAACUUUGCCACGAGCGCACAAUUGAAAUCUUUGAAAUUUUAGAAACUAAAACAACAAAUGACAAAUUUAAUGAAGCCCGAGAAAGAAUGGGCAGUGAGUGGACAAUAGAAAGAAACCCUACUGUGGAUAGACAAGAUUCGAUUUGGGUUGGAUGGAAACAAAGCCAAUGGAAGGCAACAAUGAUAGCUACUGAUAGCCAGUAUGUACACACUAGAAUGAAGAACAUAGGUGGAUAUGAAUUCGACUUAACAAUCGUAUAUGGGGAAAGGACAGCAAUUAAAAGACGACAACUAUGGUAAGGCAUUAUCUUACUCCGCCCAAUUUCGAGUGCGAAGGAUUGGUUAAUCAUAGGUGACUUUAAUGAAAUACGUCACCCCUCGGAAAGAGAAGGUCGCGGUUUAUUCGACAGAGCGGGGGCUUCCAAGUUCGAAAAUGCAAUUGCAGGCUUCACAGAGAUAUCGGCAAUCGGCGGCGACUUCACAUGGACUAAUGGGCAAACCAGAUCGAGGCUGGACAGGGCUUUGGGGAACGCACAUUGGCUUACCAAAUGGCCUCAAGCCCGGCCAAGGCUGAUCCACGGUACUACGAGCGACCACGCCGGCUUUCACAUCAAAUUGACACAAACUGAAAGAGGCACGACUCCCUUCAAGUUCUAUAAUAGUUGGCUAAGAGAGAAUAAUUUUAACGAAAAAUUCAGAGCGACAUGAGCAAUGGGGGUGGAAGGCUCUCUCGUCUACACGCUACAACAGAAAAUAAAUGAAAUAAGGAAGAUGGCUAAGAAUUGGGUAAAAAUCAGAAAAUCAGAAAAUCAAAAGCUCUAUCGUCAAGGGAGGUAGCGAGCUUAUUGCAAUCUGAGACAACCAAACUUUAAUCAAAUCCGUACUGCCCUGUGACACAAGCGGCCUGCAAUGAGCUAAAAACAAGGCUAAUAAAUCUACAAAUCAGCGAGCAAUUAGACCUUAGGAAGAAGGCGCACAUAGAAUGGAUAACGAUGGACGACAAAGGCACCCACUUCUUCGCACAAGCCAUAAAGGCGAGGCAUGCCAGAAACUCUAUCACGGGAACCAUAGACGGGGAGGGGAGGCAAACAAAUUCAAUGUCUGAUAUGAAAGCAAGAGCCAUAACAUACUUCACUGAUCUGUUCAACGUCGAGAGCAGAGAGAGACCAAUUCCGAAUCUAAAUAUAGUAAUUGACAGGAGUCCAACAGAUGUUGAAAAUGCAAUACUAAGAUGCACCCCAUGUGAGACAGAAAUACGGGCGGCAUUAACAAGUAUGCCGACAGGGAAAGCGCCGGGAAUGGAUGGCCUCACAUCUGAAUCUUGUCAUUCCAUUGGAGUUCAAUCAGAAAUGAUAUAAUAGCGGCAGUGUUACAUUUUUUCCAAACCAAGUGGAUGCUCGGAGCACUAAAUCUAGCAAUCUUAAUGCUAAUACCAAAAAUGGAAGCACCGGAGAGAUUGGAGGACUAUAGACUAAUCUCGUGCCUCGGAGUUACAUAUAAAAUCUUUGCAAAAGUACUGGCCAACAGAUUAAUGAAAGUGCUGCCAGGGAUCAUAAAACCAGUGCAAACAACCUUCAUUAAAGGCCGGAGAAUCACCGAUGCCAUUGGCCUCGCUCAGGAAUUUACUCAAUCAUUCAAUUGCAAAAGUACCUCCAGACGUGCAUGCAUUGCAAUCGACUUCGCCAAAGCUUUCGACACACUAAAAUGGGACGCAAUAGAAGUGACACUAGAGCUGCUCGACAUCGAUGAAACAUUUCGCAUGCUAGUUAUGACGUGUGUAAGAACAACAUCAGUAGCUGCUCUAGUGGAGGGAUCACCGACAGAGAUAAUUGGUAUGAAGAGAGGGCUAAGGCAGGGUGACCCACUAUCACCUCUGUUGUUCGUCGUUGUCAUCGAUUACUUAUCCAAGCUAGUAGACCUCGCCAUAAAGAACAAAAAAAUCGAACUCUACUCAUCAAGAGGUGUAAUGGUGGAUAACCAUCUAGCAUUUGCGGAUGACAUAAUCUUCUUUUGCCGAGCCUCGACCAAAACAUUUCGGGCCCUAAAUGAGGUACUCAAAGAAUUCACUACUUUUUCAGGUCUAAGCAUUAAUAGGGAGAAGAGUCAUGCAAUCUUUUCAAAGUGGGUGGAGGACAAACACGAGUUAGCAGCAAUACUAGGAUACCAAGUGAAGGAGUUGCCAAUUCGGUACCUAGGAACACCUUUCACGGGCAAACUAAUAAGAUACAAAGACUGUGAUAGAUUAUUAGCAGAGCUUAAGAGCAUUUUAACACGAUGGAGUGGCAAGAAACUAUCCUAUGCAGGACGAAUCCAACUAGUUGACUGGGUGUUCCAAGGCAAAUUCGGGUACCUCGCUCAGAGUAGUAUCAUCCCAAAGGCAGCCCUAGAAGCAAUACAAUCAAUCACAUACAAAUUCAUUUGGGGGGCGCAAAAGGAGGUAUCAUGGGCAAGUAUGACGAAGAACAAGGACCAAGGUGGAAUUGGCGUAAGAGACUAUAAAAACGCACAUCUUGCUGCCAUAAUCAGCAGAACAUGUAGAAUGUGGGAGGGUGAGGGAGUGUGGAGCGCUUGGAUGACCAAACGAUAUGUCAAAGGAAGGGCAAUAGAUCAAAUUCAGAAGCUCCAAACGGAUUCAGCAGUGUGGAAGGCAACAAUACAACAAAAGGAACAUAUAGCUAAAUGUGUGAAAUUGGGACCGAGCAACACUAAAACAUGGGUGGGGAAGGGAACGAGCUGCACUGCAAAAAACGUAGCUGCUACCCUUCGACCUGAGGUCCCAAAAGAUGAAUUCGCGAAGGGAAUUUGGUCAAUCAAAAUCGGUAAAAUCGCGCUGAACUUAUGGAGGAUUAGAUGGGGCACUCUCCCUACUAAUGACAGACUUAUUAAGCGAGGAAUGAACAUCAAUGGAGGAUGCGAAUUGUGUGACACGGAACAAGAAAGCGUAAGCGACUUAUUCAUGCAAUGCGAGUUCGUAAAAUGGAUCAUGAAGGAAGGAUUGGAGGCUACGGGAUCGCUGGUCGACCUGAGUGCAGCUUCAUCGUUCGUGGAGGCAGCGCGGGAGCUGAACAAAGUAACAACAGGAACGCCGACGUGGGGGCUUCAAUGGAACAUGUUUGGAAUCAUACUAUUCCAUGUUUGGAAGCAAAGAAACGCAAGGAGGACCAGUUCAGCAACGCAAACAAAAGAAAUAAUACUCAGGAACUGCAUUAAAAUGGCUGGAAUAGAAUUUGAUGAAAAGCGAUAUAAGAAGCAACACAAGACGGCGGAAGAGGGGAGGGCGUUGCUCCAAUGUGACGCCCUACUCAUGCUCAUCCAUUCCGAGGAGGGAUAAUCGAUGGUUAGAAACUUUUAACUACCGUGCAAAGUAAUUAGGUUAAUUUCCAUAACUAAUCUAGCAGUAAUGUAUUAAACUCUUUACUCUUAAUCGAAAAAAGUAACCUUACCAAAAAAAAUAUAUCUUCUUGACUUUCUUCCCUUAUGACUUAGUCAAUUGGGUUAAUUAAUUUAAUACGUUAUGACUUAAGUAAUUUAAUUGGGUUAAUUGUUAUCGGGAGGGUUCCAUAUUUCUUUUUAAUUUUUAAUUUAAUUGUAAGUCGAUUACCGCCUGUAGCCAGGGAUGGGUCAUCAGUCAUCACCGGUCAAAAUCAAUAAAUUUUUUAUAUAUUUUUUUUACCUCGAAAUCUACAUCGAAAAAUCAACGAUAACGAAGCAAAUCAAAAGGAUUUUAAAAUUCAAUACCUUGACUUUAGGAGAGAGAACGGUGCGUGGGUUUGUAACAGAGCUGACAGGACGGGUCUGUUUAAGGGAAAUACUAGAUCCGUCUCUGACCCAGACCGGGCGGAUUUCUUCGGUUAAACAAAUGAGUUAUAAUCAUUUUGAUUUUUUUAACGUGGCGAGAAAAUAAUUCAAAAUUUGCGGAGAUCAAAAUACUUAAAAUCACUCAUGAUUGAUCACCAUAAUUUGUAAUGAAUUUUUCAUUUUAAGAUUAAAUAAUCUCUAAAAAAAGAGGUUGGGCUUAUUUUAAAAUUUCUCUUAUUUAACAUUUACCGUAUCUUAUUUACAAAUUACAAUGAUCAAAUCUAAAUUUAUCUCCCUGUUUUAAUCAUCAUUUUUAAUAUUUAUAUAAGUUAUAAUAACUUUUAAUUUGUGGGCUCACCGGUGUGGGCUCGUCGUCCAACCUAAUACAAGUGUUCCUCCAAGAAUUAUCAACCUCCUCCCCUAUUGGACCAGGGAAGGUAUUUAUAAGUUUAUAACCUUCUCUUGCUGUCCUUGGGCCACGUGGGCUUGCCCGUGGGGCCCAUUCGUUCGUCCAGAGCCGUUCUUGUUGGGCCAUUCGUUAUACUUAAACCCUAAGCCCAAGGCCAUUCUUGUUUCGGCCACGUAGCUUGCCAUUGAGUCCUCCUUGGACACGAAGUCGCCCCUGACUUGGUUGGCUACUAGUCGGGAAUCCGUGUGGAGGUGCACUUUGGACGCGCCCAGCGCACGUGUUAGCCUGAUUCCCGACAGGAGAGCUUCGUAUUCCGCUGCAUUGUUGGUCGCCCGAAACUCAAAAUGGAUCGAGUACUCGAUCUUUUCCCCGUCGGAGUUUUUACCACGACCCCCGCGUCGCAACCUGUGCUACUGGACGACCCGUCCACGUGAGCCGUCCACCACUGCUCCUUCACCUUCUCGUCGUCUUUCGGGGCUAGCUCGGCCAUGAAAUCUUCCACCGCUUGCUCUUUGACCGCCCUCGCCGACACAAUAACCAGGUGGAAUUUGCUAAGUUCCAUAGCCCAUUUGGUCAACCUUCCCGAGACGUCCGGCUUUUGCAGCAGUUGGAGCAGCGGGUAGGCCGUUGGAAUUGUGACGGUAUGGGCGUGAAAAUAUGGUUUCAACCUUCGGACCGUCGAGACCACCGCUGGGGCCAGUUUCUCGAUAUCGAUCUGGGUACCUUUCCUUCGCCCCCUGCAGCGACCGGGAGUGGUAAUAUACUGGCCUCUGUACGCCCUCCGCUUCCGAGAUGAGUACUGCGCUGACGGCCGAAUCCGAGCAUGCGACGUACAUGGUGAGUGGUUCCCCUCUCGCUGGAGGGCAGAGCGUUGGCAGGCGAGAAAGCUGGAGCUUGAGUUCCUUGAAAGCUACUUCGCACUUGUCCGACCACACUACUCUGGGGCCUGGGUUCCUCAACAGUUGGAAGAACGGGCGUAGGCGGUCCUCCGUUCUCGGCAGGAAUCUGCUUAACGCCGUCACCCUUCCGUUCAGCUUCUGGACUUCCUUUAGCGUAUGUGGUGGAUUCAUGGCCAUGACGGCCUCGACUGUUUCCCCUCUUGGCCUGAUCCCCUCGAGCGUGAUCCGGAAACCCAGGAAGUGCCCCUCCUUAACCCCGAACGUGCACUUUUUUGCCUUUAACUUGAGCCCCGCUUUUCUGACGUUGGCGAAGGUCUCCUCUAGGUCGGCUAGGUGCGUCCUGGUCUCCUUUGAUCGGACGAGUAUGUCGUCCACGUACACCUCCGCGUUCCUGCCUAUCUGUGCCCCGAACACUUUGUCCAUUGGCCUCUGGAAUGUAGCCCCGGCGUUUCGUAGGCCAAAGGGCAUUACUUUGAAACAGAACGUGCCCAUCUCUGUGAUGAACGACGUCUUCUCCUCAUCCUCCCUUGCUAUGGGCACUUGGUUGUACCAUGAGUGCGCGUCUAUGAAACUCAGCAUUUCGCACCCGGAGCUCUAGUCCACCAACCGGUCUACCGACGGUAGUGGGUAGCUAUCCUUGGGGCAAGUUUUGUUGAGGUUUGUAAAGUCGACGCACAUCCUCCACCCCGCGCCUGCCUUUCUCACCAUUACCACGUUGGACAGCCAGGCGGGGUAACACACUGGGCGAAUGAAGCCCGCUCGAAGGACUUUCUUGACCUCCGUCUCUGCCGCCUCCCUUUUUCUGUCCUUAGCGGGCGCAUCUUUUGUCUGAUGGGGUGGGCGCCUAGGACCACCGCGAGCUUGAGCUCUGCCAGCGCCCUAGGCACGCCGCUCAGCUGCCCCAGCUCGAUUGCGAACAAGUCCUCGUUUCUCCUGAGGAGCUGCUCCAGCCCCCUCUCAAGUCCCGCGGGAGGUCCUUUCCUAUACGUACCUCGUUCCGGCCGAGGCCGAUUAGGAUCGUGUGGGACGCUGACGCCGGCUUCGUGACGCACUCACGCGCAGAGUGCGGUAGGCCCUCGUCCGAUGUCAUCACUUCGCCCACCGAGUUGAAGUAGCACUCACGUGCCUUCUUCUGGGAUCCUCUGACCAUGCAUACUCCCUCUUUGGUUGGGAAUUUGAGGCACUGGUGGAGCGAAGACAUCACCGCCAGGAACGCGUGCAGCGCCGCUCUUCCUAGGAUGGCAUUGUAUCCGGACGUGAAGUUUACCACGGUGAACGUGACUUCGACUGUCCUUGUUUGAGCGUGUCGGCCCAAGGUGACCGGGAAUGAUAUUGUCCCCGCUACCAGAACUUCCGUUUGUCCAAAUCCUCUGAUGGGGGGCUGGAUUGGGAGCAGGUCCGUGCGGGCCAGACCGAUGUCGAUGAAGGCGUUCCAGUACAGUAUGUCUAUGGACGUCCCUGUGUCCACCAAAACCCUGUAUAGGCGUACACUGGAUUUAUCCCCCUUUUGGAAGAUGGGGGUUAUGACUAACGGGUCGUCGUGGGGCGUAGUGAUGUCCUUCAUGUCGUCCUCCGUGAACGAGAUUUCCAUCUUCGUUCGCGAGCGCUUCGUCCCUGUUGUCCGGUCCAAAUCGGACGCGUGCCGACGCCCUUCCCAUGGGUCGUCGCCCCUGGAGGCCUCCCCUCCUGCGAUGGUAAGGAUAUCCCCAAUUACUUCGUCCGCUGGUUCUUGCUUCGGCGCUUGGUGCUGUAGAAUCAAAAUUGUCGACAUAGGAUUAUAUUUUAAUCAUGUCAAUUUAAACCCGAAUUACACUAUUAAUCAAUAGGGGUUAAAUAAGUCAAUCAAUAUUAAACGUAACUCCAGUUAAUUAAUUAAUCAUUUGAGUUAAAGGUUUAAGUCAAAGUUAAAAGUCAAAUUGGGAGAAUUGCAUUUUCACCUUGAAUAUUAUUAUUUGGAAUAAUUGCAUUUUUACCUUGAAUAUUAUUAUUAUUAUCUUUUGACACUUUAUUCAAUGUAUAAUAUUCCAAGGGGACAAAACAUUAUUCAAGUUUGAAUUUAUACAAAGAUAAGAUUCUCCAACAAACUCUAUCCAAGAAAAACACUAUUCAAGAUAAGAUCAAAGACAAAGCUUGAAUUUUUGUGAGAAAUCAAGGAGCCAUCCAUUGAAGAUCCAAGGGUGGACAUUGAAUGACCAAUGCUAUAAAUAGAAGGGUAAACCCCUCAUUUUCACUUGCCACACUACAAGCAAACUCAAGAGUUUUCACUCCACACUUGCCCACACGUUUUUGCCUACAAACUUCCAAGCUUUCAAGUGCUCAAGUGUCCUAGCUUUCCAAAGCUUCAAAAGCUCUCCAACUUCUUCUUCUAAUCUUUUUGUUCAUCUUUACAAGUAAGAAGUGUUGUUUACUUUAAUAUUCCACUCCUCUAAUCACCUCUUGUGUGUGUCCACUUUGGUUGAGAGGGUUGUCUCAAUAGUACCAAAGUGUGAGAGAAGGUUUUUGAGCUCAACCAUAAAGCUCUAGUUUGGUUUUAUAGAGUUUCCGAGAAAACUCUUAGGUCGAAUCUACCUAUACGUGCGUGUGCUCUCAGCCUCUCCCUGCGCGAUGGCACUGAGGGUAGCUUUGAUUUUGGGUCUCCUCCGACGGUGUGCGAAAGCCGCCCGGAAAACCGCCACCAGGCCUUCGUAGGUAUGCACGGACCCUGCUGGCAACGUCCUGUACCAUGCUAUCACGUCGCCCGUCAAGGCUCUGCGGAACAUCCGGCACCAGAUGUUCUUUCUGCUCGUCCUGUCCACCAUGUUGGUUUUGAACGAGUGAAGAUGAUCCUCCGGGUCCGUGUCUCCCUUGUAAUAUGGGAUCUUUGGGGCCCUCCAGCCCGGGGGGUAUUCCUCGUCCGACAAGUGUUGUGCCAGGGCUUCUCCGCCUACCGCCAGUAUCGUACUGACUCCCGGGGCUCCCGCGGGCGGGGUGUCGUUCCCGGGUCCCCCGACCGGGGGGGGGGGUCCGUACAUCGGGUCGCCACCCCCGCCCCCGUCCGACUCCAAGGUGUGGGGGGUACCGUGAGCUGGUACAUUUGCUCCUGCAGCUGGCGCUGGCUCUCCUGUAGAGUGGAUAUCAGUUCCACGAGUUGCACCCUCUCUCGCUUGUUCUCCCUUUCCGUGCGCUCUCUCUCCUCUGCGCUCCCUUCGACGAAGCCUCUCGUGCUCCUUUUCCUUCGCUCUGCUCUUCCUUCUCUCCCGGGACCGCGUACUCCUCUCCCUGGACGGGGGCGUUGGCCCGCUUCGUCUGCUCCUCCUGGGCGACUCCCACCCGUACCUUAUUUCCUCCAAUUCCAUGCGUAAUCUUUCCUCCUGGGCGUCCCACUCCUCGUUGGCUCUCAUCUCCUUCGAGUACCGGUCCCGUGAGAGGUGCGGUACCGGCCGGUACUCCAACGCCCCUCGCUCGCGUCGCUUCGAGCAUUCUUCUGCCUGGUAUUCGCUUCUUCCUGUCAUCCUCUUUCUCCUCUCUCCGGCUGUUGCGUGUUCGUUCACGUCAGGUUCACCACUGUUGGUUUGUGGGCUCGUCGGUGUGGGUUCGCCGUCCAACCUAGUACAAGUGUUCCUCCAAAAAUUAUCAACCCCCUCCCAGGGGAGGUAUUUAUAGCCUUCUCUUGCUGUCCUUGGGCCUCGUGGACUCGCCCGUCGGGCCCAUUCGUUCGUCCGGACCGUCGACAAGGCUGGUUCGGUCCAUGGGCCGCGGUUCGCGGUCCAUGGUACCAACAAUAACAAUAAUUUAUAGAAUGUAAAAUAUAUCAGCUCGCCUAUUUCAUUAGGAGUGAGCAGGUACGUGGCAGACCCAAAAACCAUCCCCGUGUCUUGUCAUUGGCAUGGGUAUGAGGAUCCCCAACCAAAAUAUUAUUUAUUUUUAUUUUUUAAAUUUAUUUUAAACAAUAAUGUACUAAUGUUAUGUAACAAUCGUGAUUGACCAGCAGGAGGCCGAGAGAGUACUGGGAACGGAGUUGCAUUGGGCGGAAGAAGAAACAGAGCCGACUAGUAUAUCGGAGGUCGACUCUGUUAGACCUACGCGAGAAAGACAUUCAACCCGACGUGACUACGACUACGCAUGAUUAUUAUAACGAAUUAGUUGUAAUAACGGUUAAUAGUAGUUACAGCAAUGGUUAGUAUUUAAGGAAUAACCGGUAUACACUCAAUAGUUGUGUACAAAUAGGCAGAACGAAAUAAUACAUAUAUGCUGAAUUUGGUUUGUACUUUCCUUGCGACUUUCUUCUUCGAAUCUCCGUCGUCUGUCUUCUUCCUCCUCCGGCUGGGAAGUUCCGUGAUCUCUUUUUCCUUCUUGAACCCGUUCCGAUCGCCGAUCGUUGCUGUCACAUGCUAUUACUUACUAUUAAUUACUAAUGUAAUUAAAAUACUGAUUUAAAUGUAAAUAGUCUAAAUAGUUAAAAAUUAAAUAAUUCAGAUGUAAAUAAAUAAUAAUUUAAUAAUGUUUUAUCACUUUUAUAGAUCAUUUUUAUAAGGGUUAAAUAUAAUUUUUUGUAUGAUAUAUAAUAUAUAAAAUAAAUAACUUUAUAUUUAAAAUAUAUUAUAUAGCCAUAUAGGGUCAUUUAUAUAAAUGAUACUAUAUAAAAUAUUAGAAUAAAAUUUCAGUGAGCCCACCUAAUAUGAGCUUAAUAGUGUUUAAGUCUUUAUGGAAAUGUGUGCAACCAAAACAUUAAAAAAUAAUAUAAUUAAAGGACGGUUCAGAAAUAGUCGGGGAUUUCGACCGGGGACGGGGUUUUUCCUUUUUCAGGUAGGAAAAUCCUUCCCGUCCCUGUACCCGUUCAUUUGGGGAAAGGCGGGUAUUGGGUACGGGGAAUCUCACCCCUAAUUUUCAUGCUAAUUAUAAUGUUAUAGAUUUCCAUUUCAAUUAGUCUUAUCCAAUUAUAUUUAAUUAGGGUUGUAAUUAAAUGGGUCCGGGUCCGACCAGGGCCCGGGUCUGUGACUAAUUUUGAACCUAUUAAAGAGUUUGGACUUGAAGAUCUAGGUUUAGAAUAGCUGACCCGGCUGGACCCGGACUCUGAUAUUAUAAAUAUUUUAUAAUAUAUUAGUAAGUUAGGAUUUAAAUAUAAAUAUUUUAAUUUAUAUUUUAUAAUAUAUUAGUAACUUAAGAGUUAAAUAUAAAUACGUAACUUGUUAUUUUUAUUUUAUGUUUAUUGGUUUCACCAAACCGACCAGUCCAGAUUCGGUCCAUUUACAUUCCUAUCUUUAAUAGUUAUUUUGAAUAAUUAAAAAAAAUAGUCUUUAUCGAUCGACCCCAAUCAAAUCAGAAUUUAAAAAUACUUUCGUUAUCUGGAUCGUUCACUAAUCACUACCGUUUAAAGAUUAAACUUUGAAUUGUCAAAUCGAAAAUCUAAAAUGGAAUGUGAUGACAACUUAAUGUGGUUCAAGGAUAAUAACAAUAAAUCAGCCUAUGACUCAAGCCCGACAAUGAUCCAACUCAGGUCAAGUCUGAAUCUGACCCAACUUCGGUACAAAUUGAUUCGGAAGACCUGACACAACUAUAACCUAAGUUUAUACCCAGAUGAAGAUCCGGCUAGUAACAUUGUUAUUAAUACUGUUUACUUCGAGAUAAACAAUAGGUAAUUUAAUGAGUUGAGACUAGUCGUUAAAUAGAGGUGAGACAGAAGGACCGAUAUCUCAUCGAUCUUGCGUCACCGAUAAGAUUUUGAAAGAUCAAAGAUAGACUAAAAAAUGCGGUUUUAUUUUUUUUGACAAAGAAAUAAUCGAGUGCAUAUGAAAAUAUAAAAGAAAAUGAUUUAUCAACACCAUCUAGCUUGGAAAAGUCCUCAAUUUUGUAAAAUGUCUAGAAUCAUGCACAAAUCAUAGUUUGAAAAUUUGAAUAAAAUAAUGAAUGGAAAAUAAUAAAGAAUUGAAAUUUAGAUUAUGAGGAAAAAAUGAGACUAUUCUUCACUGUUUCAUGCGAUUAUAUGAAUCUCUUUUAUCUAUAUAUAUCCAUUUAGUUGAAGCCAUCAUGUAUAAUAUUGGUGUUCUUAGUUAACUAUACUAGCCAGUCAUGAAAAAUUUCACCUUUGAUUUCUGCUUAUCCAUGAAAGACGAUCCAAGUCCAUUUGUUUUAAUAUUUUCGACCUUGUUCAUCGGCAUUCUUGCCAUCAUCAUUUGGUCUUACCUCAAGAGAUUGAAGUUAUCACUCCCUCCAGGCCCAAUAGGUCUUCCAUUGCUUGGUACUCUUCCCUUCAUCGAUCCUCAACUCCACUUUUACUUCACCGGUUUGGCUAAAAAAUAUGGUCCAAUCAUCAGCACAUAUCUAGGCCUCAAACUUGUCGUCGUCGUGUCGUCGUCCUCUCUUGCUCGUGAAGUUCUUCGUGACAAAGAUGCUAUCUUUGCCAAUCGUGAUAUGCCCGUUUCGAUAUAUAAUUUGAUGUACGGUGGACAAGACAUCGCUUUCACCAGUAAUGGUCCAAAAUUGAUCAUGAUGAGGAAAAUCGCGACGCAAGAACUACUCGGAGGAGCGACACUACAAGCAGUCCAAGGACUUCGAAAGAUCGAGGUGCGGGCGAUGAUAAAGCGAGUGAAAGACAGGGAAGGAGAUGUUGCAGAUCUGGGAGUGGAGCUUUUCAAAACUAUGUUCAAUUUAGUGACCACAAUGUUGUGGGGUGGAGGAAUGGAUAAGAAAGGUUGUGCAGGUUUGAGUGCAAAAGAAUUCUUAGAAUUCAAAGACAUCAUAUCAGAGAUGGCCAUAUUAGCAGGUAAACCAAACUUGUCGGAUUAUCUUCCUUUCCUGAAGAAUUUGGAUUUGCAGGGAAUUAAAAAGGAAUCAUUGAUCAUAAACAGAAGAUUUGAUGGAAUAUUCGAACAGUUGAUGUCUGAUAAAGCAUCAAAUAUCGAACAGAAAGAUUUUCUAGAUGUUCUUCUACAGAUAAAAAAGAGUGGUCAUGAAGUAGGGUUUACUAAAGAUAGCAUCAAGGCUAUUCUUUUGGAUUUUAUAACUGCUGGAUCUGACACAACAUCCAGCACAAUGGAAUUCGCCAUAUCUGAGAUGCUGCGUAACCCUGAUAUAAUGAAAAAGGUGCAAAAAGAGUUGGACACAGUGGUUGGAUAUGACAAGAUGGUAGAAGAAACUGACGUCUCUGAGUUGCACUAUCUCCAUGCUGUUUUCGAAGAGACGCUCCGACUAUACCCACCUGUUCCCUUUCUCAUUCCACAUUGCAACAGUGAAGCUUCAACACUUGGAGGCUAUGAUAUUCCAAAAGAUACACAAGUAAUGGUUAAUGUAUGGGCAAUCCAACGUGAUCCACAAGUGUGGGAGAACCCAUUGGUUUUCAAACCAGAGAGGUUCAUCAAAGAUGGAGGUGGAAAGACUUAUAAGAGCAGCGAUUUCACGUUUUUGCCUUUUGGUUCAGGUAGGAGGAUGUGUGUGGGGAUGACAUUGGCACAUAAGAUGUUCAUGUAUGCCAUGGCUUCACUGUUGCAUUCCUUCGAAUUCAGGCUUCGUGACGGCGAGGAGUUGGAUUUUGCUCAAAAAUUUGGAAUGGUUUUACAGAAGAAAACACCACUUCAGGUCAUACCCACACCAAGACUCCCCACUUCUCAACUCUAUUAUUAAUGAUUACUUGUGUG
Molecule: long non-coding RNA, 15477 nt
Filed under: Zostera marina
Lineage: Eukaryota; Viridiplantae; Streptophyta; Magnoliopsida; Alismatales; Zosteraceae
Description: long non-coding RNA (ZMAR_LNC002415)
Source: RNAcentral